Molecule: long non-coding RNA, 315 nt
Filed under: Rhinopithecus roxellana (golden snub-nosed monkey)
Lineage: Eukaryota; Metazoa; Chordata; Mammalia; Primates; Cercopithecidae
Description: lncRNA (ENSRROG00000046083.1)
Source: RNAcentral
CUCCGCCGUAGCGUGCGCUCCUGGUAGCGCUGCGAUCAGCUUUUCAGCAAUACCCGGAUGGAAGUGUAAUGGCCGCCAUCAGGGACUCGCAGGCAAUGGGGACUACGACAGAUAUCAUCUCUUCUUUUGAUCACUGUUCCUGAUUGUGACAUUGUGCAAGUGUUAAAUUGUGUGCCUUUUGUUCCUGAAGAAAGAGUUGGUGCUAACAAUCCCCUACUCUGGCCUCUGGACCUAGCUUGAAGUUCCGGAUUAAUUUCCUUCUUCCUUGUACCUCAGCCUGAGCCUUCUGUCACCCAAAGUGUUCCAGCUUUUUUU